AGUGAACGCUGGCGGUAGGCCUAACACAUGCAAGUCGAACGGCAGCACAGUAAGAGCUUGCUCUUACGGGUGGCGAGUGGCGGACGGGUGAGGAAUACAUCGGAAUCUACUUUUUCGUGGGGGAUAACGUAGGGAAACUUACGCUAAUACCGCAUACGACCUACGGGUGAAAGCAGGGGAUCUUCGGACCUUGCGCGAUUGAAUGAGCCGAUGUCGGAUUAGCUAGUUGGCGGGGUAAAGGCCCACCAAGGCGACGAUCCGUAGCUGGUCUGAGAGGAUGAUCAGCCACACUGGAACUGAGACACGGUCCAGACUCCUACGGGAGGCAGCAGUGGGGAAUAUUGGACAAAGGGCGCAAGCCUGAUCCAGCAAUGCCGCGUGGGUGAAGAAGGCCUUCGGGUUGUAAAGCCCUUUUGUUGGGAAAGAAAAGCAGCAGGUUAAUACCCCGCUGUUCUGACGGUACCCAAAGAAUAAGCACCGGCUAACUUCGUG
This 492-nucleotide ribosomal RNA is filed under the name uncultured bacterium. Its description in RNAcentral is "partial 16S ribosomal RNA". It matches the Rfam family "Bacterial small subunit ribosomal RNA", at positions 29 to 507 of the family's 1533-position model. The record is from RNAcentral.